Molecule: ribosomal RNA, 72 nt
Filed under: Candidatus Nealsonbacteria bacterium RIFCSPHIGHO2_01_FULL_43_31
Lineage: Bacteria; Candidatus Nealsoniibacteriota
Description: partial 23S ribosomal RNA
Source: RNAcentral
GAUUACGAGGUUGAUAGGCGAUAGGUGUAAGCGCGGUAACGCGUUGAGCCAAGUCGUACUAAUAAAGCGAAA